GAUGAACGCUGGCGGCGUGCCUAAUACAUGCGAGUCGAGCGAACGGACGAGAAGCUUGCUUCUCUGAUGUUAGCGGCGGACGGGUGAGUAACACGUGGAUAACCUACCUAUAAGACUGGGAUAACUUCGGGAAACCGGAGCUAAUACCGGAUAAUAUUUUGAACCGCAUGGUUCAAAAGUGAAAGACGGUCUUGCUGUCACUUAUAGAUGGAUCCGCGCUGCAUUAGCUAGUUGGUAAGGUAACGGCUUACCAAGGCAACGAUGCAUAGCCGACCUGAGAGGGUGAUCGGCCACACUGGAACUGAGACACGGUCCAGACUCCUACGGGAGGCAGCAGUAGGGAAUCUUCCGCAAUGGGCGAAAGCCUGACGGAGCAACGCCGCGUGAGUGAUGAAGGUCUUCGGAUCGUAAAACUCUGUUAUUAGGGAAGAACAUAUGUGUAAGUAACUGUGCACAUCUUGACGGUACCUAAUCAAAAAGCCACGGCUAACUACGUG
RNAcentral lists this ribosomal RNA (497 nucleotides) under uncultured bacterium. RNAcentral's name for it is "partial 16S ribosomal RNA". It matches the Rfam family "Bacterial small subunit ribosomal RNA", at positions 28 to 507 of the family's 1533-position model. The record is from RNAcentral.